RNAcentral lists this ribosomal RNA (465 nucleotides) under uncultured bacterium. RNAcentral describes it as "partial 16S ribosomal RNA". It matches the Rfam family "Bacterial small subunit ribosomal RNA", at positions 339 to 795 of the family's 1533-position model. The record is from RNAcentral.
CUACGGGUGGCAGCAGUGGAGAAUAUUGGACAAUGGGGGAAACCCUGAUCCAGCAAUGCCGCGUGUGUGAAGAAGGCCUGCGGGUUGUAAAGCACUUUCGGUUGGGAGGACUGCUUCUAGCACUAAUAUUGUUGGAAGUUGACGUUACCUUCAGAAGAAGCACCGGCUAACUCCGUGCCAGCAGCCGCGGUAAUACGGAGGGUGCAAGUGUUAAUCGGAAUUACUGGGCGUAAAGCGCGCGUAGGCGGCUAGAUCAGUCGGGUGUGAAAGCCCCGGGCUUAACCUGGGAACUGCAUCCGAUACUGUCUAGCUUGAGUACAGGAGAGGAGAGUGGAAUUCCACAUGUAGCGGUGAAAUGCGUAGAUAUGUGGAGGAACACCAAUGGCGAAGGCAGCUCUCUGGCCUGAUACUGACGCUGAGGUGCGAAAGCGUGGGGAGCAAACAGGAUUAGAUACCCGGGUAGUC